UACAGAGGUCUCGAGCGUUAGGCGGAAUCACUGGGCUUAAAGCGUGUGUAGGCGGAUCGGUAAGUACCUUGUGAAAUCCCACAGCUUAACUGUGGAACUGCUUGGUAUACUGCCAGUCUUGAGCCAGCUAGGGGCUACCGGAACAAAUGGUGGAGCGGUGAAAUGCGUAGAUAUCAUUUGGAACGCCAAUGGUGAAAACAGGUAGCUGGGGCUGUGCUGACGCUGAGACACGAAAGCCAGGGGAGCGAACAGG
This 253-nucleotide ribosomal RNA is filed under the name uncultured bacterium. Its description in RNAcentral is "partial 16S ribosomal RNA". It matches the Rfam family "Bacterial small subunit ribosomal RNA", at positions 524 to 776 of the family's 1533-position model. The record is from RNAcentral.